CGAACGGGUGAGUAAUGCAUCGGAACGUACCGAGUAAUGGGGGAUAACUAAUCGAAAGAUUAGCUAAUACCGCAUACGAUCUAAGGAUGAAAGCAGGGGAUCUAUAAGACCUUGCGUUAUUCGAGCGGCCGAUGUCAGAUUAGCUAGUUGGUGGGGUAAAAGCCUACCAAGGCGACGAUCAGUAGCGGGUCUGAGAGGAUGAUCCGCCACAUUGGGACUGAGACACGGCCCAAACUCCUACGGGAGGCAGCAGUGGGGAAUUUUGGACAAUGGGGGCAACCCUGAUCCAGCCAUGCCGCGUGUCUGAAGAAGGCCUUCGGGUUGUAAAGGACUUUUGUCAGGGAAGAAAAGGUUAAUGACCAUACCAUUAGCUGAUGACGGUACCUGAAGAAUAAGCACCGGCUAACUACGUGCCAGCAGCCGCGGUAAUACGUAAGGUGCGAGCGUUAAUCGGAAUUACUGGGCGUAAAGCGAGCGCAGACCGUUAUUUAAGUCAGAUGUGAAAUCCCCGAGCUCAACUUGGGAAUUGCGUUUGAAACUGGGUAACUAGAGUAUGU
This 557-nucleotide ribosomal RNA is filed under the name uncultured bacterium. RNAcentral's name for it is "bacterial SSU rRNA". It matches the Rfam family "Bacterial small subunit ribosomal RNA", at positions 99 to 651 of the family's 1533-position model. The record is from RNAcentral.